UCCGUAGGUCCCGAGCGUUAUCCGGAUUUAUUGGGCGUAAAGCGAGCGCAGGCGGUUAGAUAAGUCUGAAGUGGAAGGCUGUGACUUAACCAUAGUAUGCUUCGGAAACUGUUUAACUUGAGUGCAGAAGGGGAGAGUGGAAUACCAUGUGUAGCGGUGAAAUGCGUAGAUAUAUGGAGGAACACCGGUGGCGAAAGCGGCUCUCUGGUCUGUAACUGACGCUGAGGCUCGAAAGCGUGGGGAGCAAACAGG
Molecule: ribosomal RNA, 252 nt
Filed under: uncultured bacterium
Lineage: Bacteria
Description: partial 16S ribosomal RNA
Rfam family: Bacterial small subunit ribosomal RNA
Source: RNAcentral